UGGUAAGCUGACUGACACAAUGUGCCACGCAUCGCUAGGUUAGGAUACUGGUUUGGUGACUGUCUACACGUACUUUGUCCCAUGUCGUACACUGUACUGUCAGUACAAGUGUCAUUGUCAGAGAGGAAUCGGUUAGGACACGGCCACUUCUACCAUUUCAUCGACUUAUUCCCAGAUGUGCAGGUACGCUUCCAUGUUUACCUGUGAGUGACUUGUAGUUAUGAGCGGCCGUGGCGACAUGCGACUAAUGAUGUAGCACCUGGAUUUUACUUUUUGUCACCACGAAGACUCAGACCCUGCACCAAUCUUAGGAAUGUCACAACCAACAGCCCCACCUUACGCCCAGUAUCCGCCUGCAUACUCGAUACUUUCAAUUCCAGACCAAAGGUCGCAUAUUAAUCAAGACAGAUGUCGAAACUCGCACAGGAUUUAUCAAACAACAUCAGACAUAGGCUACACACGACCGCAACAGGCGAUAUAUCCAAGCAACCGGAUGAUUCAUCCGGGUUACUUCCACGGCAACCAACCCCUUCCUGGGCAAGCCACCAGCUAUCCUCCGCGCCAUGGAAAUGAACCGAUUUUCAGGAGAACCACGAUAGAGAAGGAAGAGAGUGGACGUGUCGACAACGUUGACGUGUGUAUAAUGGCCGUUCUAGCCGCAGUAUGUUGUUGUUUCUUGUGUUCAAACUUGGAGGACUAAGAAGCUAUUGACUUUUCCUCAAUAGUAAGCGUUUCAUCAGCGGUAUUCGCUUGUUAUUAACACACAUUGACUUAAGGAUAUUUGCGUCAUCUAUGCGACAUGCAUUAUUUUCAAAAAGAGUUUACAUAUUUGGAGUUGAGACAAAUGCCACCCAUGAAACGGUUGAGCUGUUGUUUAAACAGAAGUUUUAAUGAACUGGCUGAUUUUCACUUUCCGUCAUUUUCAUGGGUUGAAAUCCUGAAUCAUGGAACACGGUGGUAAGAAUAUAUGUGCUCUUGUAAAUUUGCUUCUUUCCGUUGAUAUCAGUCAUUUUCAUUGGUUAAAAUCCUGAAUUAUGGAACGAAGUGGUUUGAAGGUUAGCGUCCUUUCAUUUUGUGCUCAUCCAUUGAGAAAAAUGCAUACCGGACGUCCAUGUAAUUUCAUAACAGAUGUCUCCUCUUUAUACCUGUACUUGAUAGGGCAAUGGUGCCACAACCGACCAGAUAUCUCAGUUGGUUAGAGAGACACUAUAACGGUCGAAGGUCCAGAGUUCGAAUUUUUUCGGUGUAUUUCAUUUUUAUUACUUUUUCACAAGAGUUCAGGAAGUAAUGUAUUUCUCUUCAGAAUUGUGACAUCAAAGCUUUACCAAAGCCAAACAAAGGCCUAGCCCUUUUUUGUCAUGGUACAGGGAGUAUCAAAAACGAACAAUACCAAACUAUGUGACGCAUUGUAAAACCGAAUGCUUAGCUUAGAGCUGAACACAUAGCAGUGGGAUAUUUUCAUAUCAGCUAGUUAACUUAUUGCCUCAAACAUGUUCCUACCAGGCCAAGCUCUUCGGUUGUAAAACAACAUCUAUCGAUCGACGAUAUUAUCAAAGAUCUAGCAAAAAGAAACUUCGUUGUUUAUAUUGUGUAACACUUGUUAUCAAAUUUUAAAAAGAAAAUAAGUCGCUUAAGCUCGUUUUCAUUGUAACAAAUUAAUAUUAACUAACUCGUGAUGUGGACAGAGAUAUACUCUCAAAACCAGGACAGUAUAUGUGUUUUUCCAAUACAAGGAUUUACUAAAUGCAGCACUCCCAGAUAUAUUUUCUGUCGACAUAACAGAAGAUAAAUGACCCUUUAAUCGACAGAUUAGUAUCGACACGCAGCACUAACAUUGUCAGAGAUUUAGGUGAAUUUAUCAGACAUCGGCAAUAUCCGACUGAUUGUGAUACGGUCAUUCUAGUGUGCCGUCUUAUAAUUUCUCAGAUCGUGCGAGCAGUCCAGAUCCUUAGGCAGACAGAACGAAAGGAAAGUUUCUGUUAGGAAGGAAAAAUGUAUGGUGUCUUACACGAUUUAAAUUUUGUUGGCAAUAAUUUGUGCUCUAAUUGUUCCUUCUGUUUACAAACCAAAGAUGGAUUAUGCGAUAUGAAUACAUAUCGGCUUUAAGACGGCCAAAGAAACAUGUAUAAACCAUUAAUGCUAUAUUUAAGUGGAUGCAAUCAAAUUGUUGUUACCUGCUUUGCAUUUUGAUUUAGCUGAUGCGUGUGCCGUGAAAUAGGGCAGAAUGCCUCGAAAGUUGACGAGUUAUAUUGUCAGCAUUGGCUACCAUCUCUAUUCUUCCUGUACUUUCGCAUUGAGUUGUAACGUACGGGUGGUUACCAAUCUAGCCACUGACCACGCCCGACGUUGUUGAACCAGUCAGCGGGUCUCAUGGUUAUUCCGUCUUUGCGUAUUGCAGAGUUAUCUUCUCUUGUGAGCAGGUAUUGAUUGUUACAUCAUUUGUU
RNAcentral lists this long non-coding RNA (2444 nucleotides) under Mizuhopecten yessoensis (Yesso scallop). RNAcentral's name for it is "uncharacterized LOC110459192". Lineage: Eukaryota; Metazoa; Mollusca; Bivalvia; Pectinida; Pectinidae. The record is from RNAcentral.